UCGAAUUAAAUCCAAGCCAUCUGGCUGUGCAUUAACUUGCACGCCGGGCGGCCUGGCUCUUUGAUUUUUCACACCUCUGUGCACUUCGGGCCGACGUCUCCUUGGAGGCGAAGGCCGGCUUUUUUACACCCUUUUUUGCAUGUCUUUGAAUGUAACGGGCCUCCCUGUGAUGGGGUCGGUCUUUAAUCAUAAAUA
RNAcentral lists this unclassified non-coding RNA (195 nucleotides) under uncultured fungus. Its description in RNAcentral is "sequence contains ITS1". The record is from RNAcentral. Lineage: Eukaryota; Fungi.